ACACUUGCUGCACACAGACCUCCCCUGCAGUGCAUCCCUUUGGGUCGCCCCGGGAGAGCCAGGGCUGCGGGCAGUUCCCACACCAACUCAGACCGCAUCUGUCCACUGCCUAGCGGGGCACCUCUCUGCCAAUCCCGAAGGGCUGCUCUCGCGUCCUCACGGGAAAGGUAGUUUCCAGGUUGGGCGCCAACAGCGCCAGGCUUUGAGCGUGGGCUCUGCGCAUGCCUCAUCCACUGGCUACCUCUGCGUUUCUGCGUUUCCGCCUUUCCUUUUGUUUGUCUCACGUUUUGCGUGGGAGGCGGUCCCGGGAUUUCAGGGGUCUACCGGCUCUCUUAUGGCGAAUGCAACCCGAAGAGAGAGUGAGGGUAUUGUGCUCACAAACCAGAGGUGAUCUUCAGGCUGGAACAAGGAGAAGAACCAUGGAGACUGGAGGAAGAAUUCCCAAGCCAGAGCUUUCCAGAAGUCUGGACAGCUGAUCACCUGAAAGAGAGGAGCCAAGAAAAUCAAUCUAAACAUUUGUGGGAAGUUGUAUUCAUCAAUAAUGAAAUGCUGACUAAGGAACAAGAUGUCAUCAGCCUCAGGAGAGAGUGGUAUGUACCUUGAAAUAACUCACCGAGACACAAACUUGCUGACUUCUUGUCCUCCAUCUCAGAGAAGAUAUGGAAGAUAUGAAGGAUGGAGAAAAAGAGGAAGAGGAAAUGUGAUGGUGGAGUGGGUAACAUAAAAAAGGGAAGGCAAAUAAGUGUAUGUGUUUUCAGCGGCUUCUCACUUUCUUUUGGCCCAUCAAGGAAACCAACACAUCCGAGGAGAGUGCUGAUAGGCUGCUCUUAGCCGGGACCACACUUGUGCUUUGAAAACAACCCCCAAAAUCCCUGCAGGCAAUUGAAGGAUGUCCCGAGAACAUCCUCCCAGGGAGCAGAUACCCAUUCUGUAGAAGCUCUAAGCCUGCUGGGCUAAGCCCUCCAUAGGCCACUUUAAUGAGGAGGAGAGGCUGUAGGUGGUGGUAGGACCACCAUGUUGCAUGACUUUUCUGUGUGCCCCGUCUUUUGACUCUGUCUCAA
RNAcentral lists this long non-coding RNA (1061 nucleotides) under Homo sapiens (human). RNAcentral's name for it is "HSALNT0161740". Lineage: Eukaryota; Metazoa; Chordata; Mammalia; Primates; Hominidae. The record is from RNAcentral.